Molecule: ribosomal RNA, 674 nt
Filed under: Parasitella parasitica
Lineage: Eukaryota; Fungi; Mucoromycota; Mucoromycetes; Mucorales; Mucoraceae
Description: eukaryotic LSU rRNA
Rfam family: Eukaryotic large subunit ribosomal RNA
Source: RNAcentral
AUGAUUUCCCUAGUAACGGCGAGUGAAGAGGAAAGAGCUCAAAGUUGGAACCCGUUUGGCUUAGCUAAACUGGAUUGUAAACUGUAGAGGCAUUUUCCAGGUACACUAGGCAAAAAAGUCCUUUGGAACAGGGCAUCAUAGAGGGUGAGAAUCCCGUCUUUGGCCUAAGUAGUUGCCUAUUGUGAUAUGUCUUCAAAGAGUCAGGUUGUUUGGGAAUGCAGCCUAAAUUGGGUGGUAAAUCUCACCUAAAGCUAAAUAUCUGCGAGAGACCGAUAGCGAACAAGUACCGUGAGGGAAAGAUGAAAAGAACUUUGAAAAGAGAGUUAAACAGUAUGUGAAAUUGUUAAAAGGGAACCGUUUGGAGCCAGACUGGCUUGUCUGUAAUCAACCUAGGAUUCGUCUUGGGUGCACUUGCAGGCUAUGCCUGCCAACAACAGUUUGACUUGGGGGACAAAAAUUGAUCGGAAUGUGGCCUCUCUCGGGAGGUGUUAUAGCCGGCAAUCAUACCCUGGGUUGGACUGAGGAUCGCAGUGAAUGCUUUCGGGCAGGAUUGCUGGGCGCUUUCGCUAAUAAAUGUUAGAAUUUCUGCCUCGGGUGGUGCUAAUGUUUAGAGGAGGAACUCGCCUAGUAACUCUCUUAUUCACUUAGGUUGUUGGCUUAAUGACUCUAAUGAC